Molecule: ribosomal RNA, 301 nt
Filed under: uncultured bacterium
Lineage: Bacteria
Description: partial 16S ribosomal RNA
Rfam family: Bacterial small subunit ribosomal RNA
Source: RNAcentral
CAGCAGCCACGGUAAUACGAAGGGGGCUAGCGUUGUUCGGAUUUACUGGGCGUAAAGCGCACGUAGGCGGACUUUUAAGUCAGGGGUGAAAUCCCGGGGCUCAACCCCGGAACUGCCUUUGAUACUGGAAGUCUUGAGUAUGGUAGAGGUGAGUGGAAUUCCGAGUGUAGAGGUGAAAUUCGUAGAUAUUCGGAGGAACACCAGUGGCGAAGGCGGCUCACUGGACCAUUACUGACGCUGAGGUGCGAAAGCGUGGGGAGCAAACAGGAUUAGAUACCCGAGUAGUCCCUGUCUCUUAUAC